This 610-nucleotide ribosomal RNA is filed under the name Zea mays. RNAcentral describes it as "eukaryotic LSU rRNA". The stretch from base 237 to 390 matches the Rfam family "5.8S ribosomal RNA". Lineage: Eukaryota; Viridiplantae; Streptophyta; Magnoliopsida; Poales; Poaceae. The record is from RNAcentral.
UGGAAGUAAAAAGUCGUAACAAGGUUUCCGUAGGUGAACCUGCGGAAGGAUCAUUAAAGAGUAAGGGUGCUCAGCGCCCGACCUCCAACCCUUUGUUGUUAAAACUACCUUGUUGCUUUGGCGGGACCGCUCGGUUCCGAGCCGCUGGGGAUUCGUCCCAGGCGAGUGCCCGCCAGAGUUAAACCAAACUCUUGUUAUUAAACCGGUCGUCUGAGUUAAAAUUUUGAAUAAAUCAAAACUUUCAACAACGGAUCUCUUGGUUCUCGCAUCGAUGAAGAACGCAGCGAAAUGCGAUAAGUAAUGUGAAUUGCAGAAUUCAGUGAAUCAUCGAAUCUUUGAACGCACAUUGCGCCCCUUGGUAUUCCGAGGGGCAUGCCUGUUCGAGCGUCAUUACACCACUCAAGCUAUGCUUGGUAUUGGGUGUCGUCCUUAGUUGGGCGCGCCUUAAAGACCUCGGCGAGGCCACUCCGGCUUUAGGCGUAGUAGAAUUUAUUCGAACGUCUGUCAAAGGAGAGGAACUCUGCCGAUUGAAACCUUUUAUUUUUCUAGGUUGACCUCGGAUCAGGUAGGGAUACCCGCUGAACUUAAGCAUAUCAAUAAGGCGGAGGAA